Molecule: ribosomal RNA, 567 nt
Filed under: Ilyonectria crassa
Lineage: Eukaryota; Fungi; Ascomycota; Sordariomycetes; Hypocreales; Nectriaceae
Description: eukaryotic LSU rRNA
Rfam family: 5.8S ribosomal RNA (bases 189-342)
Source: RNAcentral
GGAAGUAAAAGUCGUAACAAGGUCUCCGUUGGUGAACCAGCGGAGGGAUCAUUACCGAGUUUACAACUCCCAAACCCCUGUGAACAUACCAUUUGUUGCCUCGGCGGUGCCUGCUUCGGCAGCCCGCCAGAGGACCCAAACCCUUGAUUUUAUACAGUAUCUUCUGAGUAAAUGAUUAAAUAAAUCAAUACUUUCAACAACGGAUCUCUUGGUUCUGGCAUCGAUGAAGAACGCAGCGAAAUGCGAUAAGUAAUGUGAAUUGCAGAAUUCAGUGAAUCAUCGAAUCUUUGAACGCACAUUGCGCCCGCCAGUAUUCUGGCGGGCAUGCCUGUUCGAGCGUCAUUUCAACCCUCAAGCCCCCGGGCUUGGUGUUGGAGAUCGGCGUGCCCCCCGGGGCGCGCCGGCUCCCAAAUAUAGUGGCGGUCUCGCUGUAGCUUCCUCUGCGUAGUAGCACACCUCGCACUGGAAAACAGCGUGGCCACGCCGUUAAACCCCCCACUUCUGAAAGGUUGACCUCGGAUCAGGUAGGAAUACCCGCUGAACUUAAGCAUAUCAAUAAGCGGAGGA